ACUUGAAUAGCUUAUAAUUAGAGCAUAACAUUGAAGAUGUUAAGGAAAUUUUUAUUUUUAAGUA
Molecule: transfer RNA, 64 nt
Filed under: Fer nigripennis
Lineage: Eukaryota; Metazoa; Arthropoda; Insecta; Orthoptera; Acrididae
Description: tRNA-Phe
Source: RNAcentral